RNAcentral lists this ribosomal RNA (301 nucleotides) under uncultured bacterium. Its description in RNAcentral is "partial 16S ribosomal RNA". It matches the Rfam family "Bacterial small subunit ribosomal RNA", at positions 509 to 809 of the family's 1533-position model. The record is from RNAcentral.
CAGUCGCCACGGGAAAACGGAGGGUGCAAGCGUUAAUCGGAAUUAUUGGGCGUAAAGCGUGCGUAGGCGGUUCGUUAAGUCUGCUGUGAAAUCCCCGGGCUCAACCUGGGAAUGGCAGUGGAUACUGGCUCGCUAGAGUGUGUCAGAGGAUGGUGGAAUUCCCGGUGUAGCGGUGAAAUGCGUGGAGAUCGGGAGGAACAUCAGUGGCGAAGGCGGCCAUCUGGGACAACACUGACGCUGAGGCACGAAAGCGUGGGGAGCAAACAGGAUUAGAUACCCCCGUAGUCCCUGUCUCUUAUAA